CGCUAAGAAGCUAAAACUGGUCUUCAGCGUUAGCCUUUUAAGCUAAAGAUUGGUGCUUACCAACCACCCUCAGCGA
This 76-nucleotide transfer RNA is filed under the name Echeneis naucrates (live sharksucker). RNAcentral describes it as "tRNA-Lys". It matches the Rfam family "tRNA". Rfam says of the family: Transfer RNA (tRNA) molecules are approximately 80 nucleotides in length. Their secondary structure includes four short double-helical elements and three loops (D, anti-codon, and T loops). Lineage: Eukaryota; Metazoa; Chordata; Actinopteri; Carangiformes; Echeneidae. The record is from RNAcentral.